UACAGAGGUCUCGAGCGUUUUUCGGAUUCAUUGGGCGUAAAGGGUGCGCAGGCGGUGUGGCAAGUCUGGUGUGAAAGCUUGGGGCUCAACCCCAAAAUUGCAUUGGAUACUGCCAUGCUUGAGGACUGUAGAGGAGAGUGGAAUUCACGGUGUAGCAGUGAAAUGCGUAGAUAUCGUGAGGAAGACCAGUUGCGAAAGCGACUCUCUGGGCAGUUCCUGACGCUCAUGCACGAAGGCCAGGGGAGCAAACGGG
Molecule: ribosomal RNA, 253 nt
Filed under: uncultured bacterium
Lineage: Bacteria
Description: partial 16S ribosomal RNA
Rfam family: Bacterial small subunit ribosomal RNA
Source: RNAcentral